ACGCUCGACACCUACUGGAGGCAGCAGUGGGGAAUAUUGCACAAUGGGGGAAACCCUGAUGCAGCGACGCCGCGUGAGCGAAGAAGUAUUUCGGUAUGUAAAGCUCUAUCAGCAGGGAAGAAACUGACGGUACCUGACUAAGAAGCACCGGCUAAAUACGUGCCAGCAGCCGAGGUAAUCUGAGCGGGCUGGCAAGGC
This 198-nucleotide ribosomal RNA is filed under the name uncultured bacterium. RNAcentral's name for it is "partial 16S ribosomal RNA". It matches the Rfam family "Bacterial small subunit ribosomal RNA", at positions 328 to 539 of the family's 1533-position model. The record is from RNAcentral.